AGUGAACGCUGGCGGUAGGCCUAACACAUGCAAGUCGAACGGCAGCGCAGGAGAGCUUGCUCUCUAGGUGGCGAGUGGCGGACGGGUGAGGAAUACAUCGGAAUCUGCCCAGUCGUGGGGGAUAACGUAGGGAAACUUACGCUAAUACCGCAUACGACCUUCGGGUGAAAGAGGGGGAUCGCAAGACCUCUCGCGAUUGGAUGAGCCGAUGUCGGAUUAGCUAGUUAGCGGGGUAAUGGCCCACCAAGGCGACGAUCCGUAGCUGGUCUGAGAGGAUGAUCAGCCACACUGGAACUGAGACACGGUCCAGACUCCUACGGGAGGCAGCAGUGGGGAAUAUUGGACAAUGGGCGCAAGCCUGAUCCAGCCAUACCGCGUGGGUGAAGAAGGCCUUCGGGUUGUAAAGCCCUUUUGUUGGGAAAGAAAUCUUUCAGGCUAAUACCCUGGGAGGAUGACGGUACCCAAAGAAUAAGCACCGGCUAACUUCGUG
Molecule: ribosomal RNA, 490 nt
Filed under: uncultured bacterium
Lineage: Bacteria
Description: partial 16S ribosomal RNA
Rfam family: Bacterial small subunit ribosomal RNA
Source: RNAcentral